UACGGGGGGGUAAGCGUUGUUCGGAAUUACUGGGCGUAAAGGGCUCGUAGGCGGCCAACUAAGUCAGACGUGAAAUCCCUCAGCUUAACUGGGGAACUGCGUCUGAUACUGGUGAUCUUGAGUCCGGGAGAGGUGAGUGGAACUGCGAGUGUAGAGGUGAAAUUCGUAGAUAUUCGCAAGAACACCAGUGGCGAAGGCGGCUCACUGGCCCGAUACUGACGCUGAGGCACGAAAGCGUGGGGAGCAAACAGG
This 252-nucleotide ribosomal RNA is filed under the name uncultured bacterium. Its description in RNAcentral is "partial 16S ribosomal RNA". It matches the Rfam family "Bacterial small subunit ribosomal RNA", at positions 524 to 776 of the family's 1533-position model. The record is from RNAcentral.